GACGAACGCUGGCGGCGUGCCUAAUACAUGCAAGUCGAACGCAUUUUCUUUCACCGUAGCUUGCUACACCGAAAGAAAAUGAGUGGCGAACGGGUGAGUAACACGUGGGUAACCUGCCCAUCAGCGGGGGUAACACUUGGAAACAGGUGCUAAUACCGCAUAAUUCCAUUUACCGCAUGGUAGAUGGAUGAAAGGCGCUUUUGCGUCACUGAUGGAUGGACCCGCGGUGCAUUAGCUAGUUGGUGGGGUAACGGCCUACCAAGGCUGCGAUGCAUAGCCGACCUGAGAGGGUGAUCGGCCACACUGGGACUGAGACACGGCCCAGACUCCUACGGGAGGCAGCAGUAGGGAAUCUUCGGCAAUGGACGCAAGUCUGACCGAGCAACGCCGCGUGAGUGAAGAAGGUUUUCGGAUCGUAAAACUCUGUUGUUAGAGAAGAACAAGGAUGAGAGUGGAAAGUUCAUCCCUUGACGGUAUCUAACCAGAAAGCCACGGCUAACUACGUG
RNAcentral lists this ribosomal RNA (506 nucleotides) under uncultured bacterium. RNAcentral's name for it is "partial 16S ribosomal RNA". It matches the Rfam family "Bacterial small subunit ribosomal RNA", at positions 28 to 507 of the family's 1533-position model. The record is from RNAcentral.